ACAUGAAUUCAAUUUGUUAAUGUUUGGCCUCUGCCCCGGGAGGGCCCUGCCAGGAGCUUUAGGAUAAAACAACUCAGCAGAGCUCUAGGCAAGAGUUGACGAGACCUUCUCAAGAGCCACUGGUUCUGCCAAGGACCUCCUCCCUGCCUAGCAUGUGAAGACACUUUGGCAAAGCCUGGCACAGAACCUGCUAGUGAAGUCACCUAUCCCUUUUCAGGGUCCCUUAAAGGGCCAGGAGUGGCAAAUUUAAACACAGAGUUGCCUUCAGUGCUCCCAGGCGCUAGGAUGGGACUUCAGGGAGCUGCCAGCAGGAGCUAUUUUUAUGGAUUCCUUGGGAUUUUCUGAGUAGAAGAUCAUGAAACUGGUGGAUACGGACAGCUUUAUUUCUUCCUUUCCAAUCUACCUUUUCUUUUAAAAUUCAUUAAAGUGCCCAGGAGUUCUUUCGAAUGGAAUCCAUCAUGAGAUAAUUUGGAUCCUCCAUAGGCUAAUAAACAGCGGCCAGGAAAAUUCAGCUUUUAUCGUCACUAAAAGUUUACCAGACAUUGGAGCUUCUGGUUCUCAGGGCUUUGGACUCAGACUGAAUUAUACGACCUGUUUUCAGCUUCUCCACCUUACAGAUGGCAGACUGUGGGACUUCUUAGCCUCUAUAACCACGCAGACUCCAGUUGCAAACCUGACCCUACGGUUUUGGGCUAUGUCCCUGGCAGAGGACAUGGGAUUAUCAGGUCUUAUGUUCUGAUGCUACACUAAUGUCAUUGCAGCUAGUGGAUGCCAUUGACUCACAGUGAUUUCAGUUAACAAACAAGGACAUAGGAUCUCUACACAAUUUUCAAAUAUCAUGAAGCCAUGAACAUGAUUACAGCUUUCUCAUUUUACAGGCUAGACAACGUCCUGAGAGGAUUCGUUAUGAGAAUAGUGUCAAUCAUAGCUUUAAGACCUUGCUUUGGAAGGAACUGAUGAGAAAGCAGAUUGGAAGGUAAAGUCCAGCACUUCAUUUAUACAAAGUCUGUUAGAAGAGGUCAGUAGAGAUCAUUUAAUCUCACGUCGUGAAAUCAUCCAUUCAAGUCCUUGGCAUAGUCCCUCACUAGUAAGAACAGAGCAUGC
Molecule: long non-coding RNA, 1104 nt
Filed under: Equus caballus (horse)
Lineage: Eukaryota; Metazoa; Chordata; Mammalia; Perissodactyla; Equidae
Description: lncRNA (ENSECAG00000048895.1)
Source: RNAcentral